This 253-nucleotide ribosomal RNA is filed under the name uncultured bacterium. RNAcentral describes it as "partial 16S ribosomal RNA". It matches the Rfam family "Bacterial small subunit ribosomal RNA", at positions 524 to 776 of the family's 1533-position model. The record is from RNAcentral.
UCCAGAGGGUGCAAGCGUUGCUCGGAAUUAUUGGGCGUAAAGGGUAGGUAGGUGGUCUCGUUUGUCGGGGGUGAAAGCCCGGGGCUUAACUCCGGAAGUGCCUUCGAAACGGCGAGACUAGAGUCUUGGAGAGGAUUGCGGAAUUCCCGGUGUAGCGGUGAAAUGCGUAGAGAUCGGGAGGAAUACCUGUGGCGAAGGCGGCCAGCUGGGCCAGAUCCGACACUGAGGCGCGAAAGCGUGGGGAGCAAACAGG